CUAUUAUACAUGCAAACUUGAACUUUCCAAGGUAUUACCCUAACUAGCAUACAAUCAUUGAUACUUGGGUAAUAUAAACAAGUUAGAAGACAUGCCUUUUCAUGUAGUUUUAUUCCAUGGAGCUUAAGAGCCUAGUGCCUCAAGUGUGACACCUCAAAUGGUUCACACAACAUCACCAACAUCUUGGAAUAACUAGAGAUAAAAGGUUCCUAUGCUCAAAUCGGCUAGCCCUCACGUAUACACACAUUUGUGCCAAUUUCUUGAGCCAUGGGGUCCUUAUAUAUUAUGGCUAUUAGGGUUACACCAUGUAACUCAUGUCUUUCCAUAUUCUUCAUGCUCCAUGGGUUAAAACCUCCAAGGAGUAUCCAUGAGUUACUCCAUGGGUUUAGCCCAACAUGAAGAACUAUGGAUCAUAAGCCCACAUAUAUAAGAAUGAACGAUUUACACAAUCAAUCCACAUAUAUUUAAUUAGUCUCUUUUUUAUCACAAUAUUAAUUCCAAAUAAAUUAUUGAUUAAUACUAAUUCAAUAACAUGAUUUCAUAUUAAUAUAUUAUAACUUAUAAUAUAUUAACAAAUCAUAAUUAUCCUUUUCUCACAAAAGUCUAUCCAAAUUGUCCCGAUGCCAUGCAACCAAAAUGGACCAUGCCAACAAGGUCAAGUACAUACCAAUUAUAGUUAUGGACUUAGACACUAAUCCAACAGUCUCCCACUUGGAUAAGUCUAAAACUAUUAUUGCGUAUGACUCCAAAACCCAACUAGCAAUCGUAGCUCUUAAAAGCUGUCGUCGAACUCUGAACAAAUCAAUGACGCAUUCAUUAGAUAAGGGAUCAUAUAUUCCUCCAUUCUAGAUAUUAUAUAGACUGAGACAUGGAUUAUAAUCAUUCUCACUGUCCAUUUGUUGUUUCCCGAUUUCCAAUUUAUGACGACCGACUAAUUGAACAAAUCAAAUCAGUCCAAGCUUAGCCAAGCACUUCGGGGUGUCAUCACUAAAUCAUCGAGGGGCCCACAGAUAUCACUUUUAUCCCUUUAAGGGUAAAAGGAAUGGAUAAACUUUGACUCAUAUGCUUGUUCUACUACUAGUUGAAUCAUACACAAAGGCAUGUUUUAUAACAUCGAGUUACCAAUGCAUUUUUGUACAAUCAAUGUAUAACGAACUCAUAAGCAACAACUCAUAUCUCUAGGUUUGAAGAAUAUAAGAUAUUAUCAACUCAUAUCUAUUUCUAACAUAUGACCAAAUGUGGAUGGUUUGAAUAACUUAGUCAUUCAAGAAGAACGACCUACUUAUUCUGGAAGUCAAAACAUGCAAAGUGAACACAAUAAUAAUCGAAUCCAAUAUCUCAGAACUUAUGAAUAUAAAUAGAACACCUUUUAUUUAUCACCAUAUUGAUUACACAUUAUUCAUUGCAUAUUGUUUCAAAUUAUUAACUUUAUACUUGAAUUAAAACAAUAGUUGUCCCAUACUCCAAGCAUGUACACUAUGUUUUCUAAACACUAGUCAUGCCAUACACCAAGUAUGCACACUAUGUUUUUCCAAACAUUAGUUAUGCCAUACACCAAGUAUGCACACUAAGUUUGUCUAUGAUCUCUAGUUUGUGAAAUAGAUUGAUUGAACAUAAUUCCAAUGAUUCUCAUUUCACAAUCCCAAAUCCUUACUACGAAUGCAAGAAUUCCAAAUUUCUGCCAUUUACCGAAAUCUGUUAGAUAUUAAACUUAUAUGCACUGAAUCUCUGUAAUGAUUAUGCAUAAAGUCACAAUGACUUGUCAACAUGCAUUACAGAGUAUUCCAAUGGAGAUAAACUCCAUGGAAACGAAGUCUCAUAAUCAAAGUACAUUGCUUUGAUCAUCCUUCUUGCAUUAAGUUUCCUAAUCUUACACAGAUUUAAUGAAUAACUUCCACCUAUGGGAACAUUUUCGUAUUCCCAUUUUAACUAUCACUCCUGAACAAGAGUUGCCUCUUUUCAGAAUAUGUCAAUAUGGUCCUUCCAAAAUUAACACUAUACUUCUUACUGUCCCUGAGCAACCAAUCUUUGGUAAACCUUAGAUUGUCCUCGACAAUUGCUUAAUCAAAUUAGUCAUAUCCAGUUCUAGUACUUGCUCCCUCUUAAUGCUCUAGGCAUUUGGAAAAAAUUUAGAACAAAUGAAUAUUAUAGCACAUGCAAUCGAUCCUAUAUCCGAAGCAUAUGGGACACGAUUCAUGAUGUCUCACAUAAAGACAUGAUACUAGACCAGUCUUUUGCUAUAAUAUUUCUAUUUCUAUUUGCCAAGUUCUCAAAAUUCAAAUUAUAAAAAGGAAUGCUGUAAUCAUAAUCGAAUUUUAGAAUGCGAAUAAUGGACCCAUAUAUAGAAUUUCCUUAUGUUAAUCCAUUCCAACAUAAAGAUGAUUAAAAUCUAAAUCUAAGCUUUUAGAAUUGAAAUGAAGUCAUAAUUCCCUCUUCCUUAAUUAUAGCAAAACAACUUUUUCCCAAUUGAAACCUUUUGUUUUCUAUAAUUAACAUUGCUAAGUUUAACACUUAUCAUAAUUAUCAUGCUCCUACUAACAUGAUGAUUAUUAGCAUAACUCUCAUGCUCCCACUAGCUUUGACAUGUACUCAGAAAUCAACUGGACUUCUAGAAACCAAUACUUUAUUGACUUUCUUACCAAAGUUUAGACUUCUAAUACGAGAUUCUUUGAUAAAACUUUAUAAAAUCAUACACCUUUCCUUAGAUAGCACACAUGUGUCUGUCUAAACAAUUUCAGAACUAUGAAAAGGGAUGCCGUAAUCAUAGUCUCACUUGUUUAGACCUUUUCCAUUCCUCACAAGUCCAUGUUAGUGUGACGGUUAACAAUACACGCUCCACUAAUGACUUUGAGAAUGAAAAUAUCACAAUUGCUAUCUACUUAAUGCCUACUUAGUGAAAUCUUUUCCUCACCAUCAUUUUCAUAAAUCAGAUAGAAACCUUAUGACACUUAUAUUUUAUGGUGUAUGUGUUCCUAUCCAUGUGAAUUUGUCAAAACCAUCAUCACAAGACAAGGUUAGUGACAAAUCCAAAAUCAUAUGGAUUAAACUUGUACAAUCUUAACUUCUUGCCACCUGGCAGCACAAGGGCCUGCCAUUGCUUCCAAGUUGUUAUGCAACAAAAUUGAGAACUCUCAGAACUCAUAUGCAAAGUCAACUUUAACCGGAAUGGGCACAGAAAUAGGAAUAUGUCAAUACGAUAGGUUAUAAACCUCACGUCGUGUGCUAGUGAUAAAUUACUGGUUUUACUCUUGAUCACUGUCCUCUUGACAUAUAAGACUCUCUUGCCAAAUAUUCAAGAGAUAGUGUGGAUUCUUAUCAAGACAAAUACUUCACACAGUUGGCCUAAGUUAGUCUCUGUUUUAUCCAAUACAUCACAACUUACCAAUUUCAAAUGUACAAGAGUAGGACACAUUUUACUCUUACAUUUGACAAGUGUAGAUAAACCUUCUUUAAGAUUUGUCACUCAAGAUCAAGUUUGUAAAAACACUCGACGUUAGCUAGUCGGUGGACUGGGGUCAAGAGAUUAAUAGGCUAGGCAGAGAUUUAUCUGGGGAUUAAUCGGGGACCAUUAAUUGCUAAUUUGUUGAAUUUAAAAAAAUUAAAUAUCACCAAUAUCAUAUCAAAGUUCAUAAAUACCACUAAUAUGAUAACAAAAUAGGUUAAAAUGACUAAUAUAACACUAAUUAUGCCUCAGAUUGUUUCCAUUGAAAUAAAACUUCUUCAAAAUGUUAAAAUUUCAUCGUUUCAUAAUGUUUUACUCAUUAUGUAUGCAAAGAUUAAUCUUUCGGCGCUCUCUAAUCGGUUAAGUAGCGCCUAGGGGUUAAUCAGAGAUUAAUCGGGACCUAGUCGGGAUUUUACAACAGUGCUCAAGAUACAUUCUUGGAGUAUGACUUUAAGAAUUGUUUUGGAAUGACGUAUGACUCAUCUUCUUGAUUUAACCAUUUUAGCAAUUCUUGAUUCCUCUUCUUAGCCAUAGGAAUGCAUUAAGAUGUCCUUAGAGGACCAACUAUGAUAUGGUUUCUUAAUCAUUAAGAUGAUCACAAAACGGGAUACUAAAGUACUCUCCCAUCUUUUUAGAUUUGAGAAACUUUUAUCCUUCUGCCAAAUUUGAUUAUUCUCAUUAAUUUUGCCAUACAUUGAAACUUUUCCAAUGUUUCAGAAUUACACUUAAGCUUAUAAGUAUAACCAUUUUUACUAAACUUUAGUAAAUCAUGACGAAUAGUCUUACUGAUCUUUUGUGGUGGACUUGAUCAGUGCACAAGAAUGUGUACUCGAUCCCUUAGUCCUUAACUUGACUCAUAUAUACAUGUGAACAAGGAAUUAGUCUUAUGUUUCCAAAGCUGAAAGUUCUCAUUCAUCAUACUAUACAACUUGCAUGAUUCCAAGUUUCAGUCCAACUGAAAACUUGGGUGAUGAGAAUCUUUGCUUAUUUCGUAAAUUUAGACACUACCACAAAAGAAAGAAGCAAAUUCAUAUUUCCAAUAUUGCUAGAAACAUAUAAAUAUUAAUUUUUCAUAAAUUCCAUUUCAAUGAGAUAUAAAAUAAAACAAAAUUUUAUUUAUUUUAUAAAAUUCGGAAAAACUAUUUCCUUACGAUGCAACUUAAACGAAAACUAUGCUAUUACAUAUUUUCUAGCAAUCUAUCAUAAAUCCUAAGUAGCAGCUCAAGAAUCCGAUCAUCGAACCAUGCGAUUGAAAUCCAUAUUCGCGAUAAGAUUCAGCAUACUCUUUCUUCAAUUUUCCUUCCCUUUGCUCGAUCCUGCCAUACAUCAAAAUGUAUUAAGAAUCUCCAAAUAGGAUCUUAAUUGAGUUAGAUAGUGGAAUUACCUAAAGCAGAGUCAAACUUUUUGACUUGACCUUCUCUCAGAUCUUUCAGGUAGUUAGGGCAGCUUCGCAACCAAUGCCCCUUCCUUUUGGCAAUUGAAACAUAUGGACUCUUUUGUAAUGGUACAUGGGACUAUCUCAGACUUAGCCAUUCUCUUUACCAUUUGGUCAAUCGAGUUGACUAUGGCCGUUCCCUUUCCAUUGGGAAGAGAAAGCUUUACUGGAUAUCCAAUGUUACCAAUUGUCAAUGUCCAUGGUAUUUUGGGAAGUUGAUCUACUAAUCAAAUUUCCUUUACCAGAGCUCCAAAUCAUUGCUGAUUUAGCAAUACCAAGCAAAUAGAUAAGAUCAUUAAGGGUCAUGUCCUAGUCUUACAAAGUAGUCCUAAAGGAACUCACUAUGUGACUUAGAAAGUGAUUGAACAACCAACUUUCUUAAGACUUUGACACCCAACUCUCCCGGCUUGUCAAUAUGUGACUUUAUCUCCAAGAUGUGAGCACACCUAGACUUUUCUUGCCAAUAGGGUUUGAGUAAACUUGAACUAUUCAAGAACUUGUGGGUUAGGGAGAAUAAUUGGAAGAGGUGGAGGGAGUGGAGAAUGAUUUUUAGGACAUCAUCUUCAUUAGAAAAGCUUGUUCCAAGAGUUUUGGGAAGAUCAUAAUUGUCUGAGCCAGAUAUCUUUUGGGAGAUAUUCAAGAUAGUUGAUUUAAAGUCCUUAAUAUAACACCCAAUAUGAAAUAUUAAUGCUAGGACCCAACACAAUAUUUUAUAACUUGGAAGAGGGAUGCCGUAAUCCAAAGUAUAGAAUAUUUAAAGGUUGGCGAAUGAUGAUUCACCAAUUUCCACCAUGAAAAAUGAAAUAAUUUAUUAGGUUUUAAUUGGAUUUUGAAACUCCUAGAUCUUUUGAGAUUCAUUGAACCUUUCAAUGGCAUGUUUCAAUCUCGAUUAUGCCCUCUCAAAUUUUGUGACUGGGAUGUCGAGGAUCACAAAACAGAGUGUGAAUAACCAUGUAAAUUUACUUGGUACCCUUAAUAUUUAUCACUGAAUCGAUGUGCCGGUUAACCACACGUGCUCCACCGAUCUUAUGAUAAACAUUAAGUUACCCUUUGCCUACCUUGUUAAAUAUAGGUUAGUGUGCCAGUUAACCACACACGCUCCACUAACGACUUAAGCAGAUUGCAAAGUGUAAUUUCAUGGGUUAACACCAAAUUCACAUUUUUCUAAAGUAACUAAGAUUGGGAAUUUAUAAAAGGUUUAGUUACUUUAUAUUUAUCAUUAUACUUAUAAUCAAGGGAGAAUUAUAGUCCUUGUCCUACCCGUUCGGCUAACGACCCUCUACCAUUCUAGAAAGCGGUGGGUGAGAGUGGACACCCAUUAAACUACCAUUGUAUAGGCAAUAACCUUAUACCCCCCUUAUAGACCGACUUCGUGAAUGAGGCCUACUAACGGUAAGACUGACUUUGUUCCUAUACAUAUAUAUAUAUAUAUAUAUAUAUAUAUAUAUAUAUGUAUAUAUAUUAUUAACUUAUAAUACUAUGAAGUAUAAGGGUUGAAUUUUAACUUUUAAAAUUCUAAGGGCUUAACUUGGAAUUAAAGUAUUCAUGAGGGGAAACUUUACAAAUUCCAAAACUUGAGGGCAAGUUAUGAACUAUUCAAAAACAUUUCAAUUCCAUAACUUAUGUGUUCAAAGUAGUUUUAAUGAAAAAUUCUUCAAGUUCCAUAACUUGAGGACAAGUUAUGGAAGACUUUAAAACAUUUAAAAAAAUGAGACUCUCCAUUUUCAUAACUUAUGGAAAUUUUAUGAGUUCUAAGAAUCAUAAAUGUAACUUUUCAUAUAACUUGAGGACAAGUUAGAAAAACACAUAUUAUGAAAAACUUUUAGAUCAACUUGGAUUGAAAACAUAUUAUCAGAUAACUUUUCUAUUAAUCUAAAUCAACUCAUAAGAACAAGAUAAUUCAAAUCAAACAAUUUUAAUGUAAUUAGACUAACCAUUAAACUAAUACAAAACAUGAAUCUAUUGACAAUUAUCUAUGAAAUUGGAUUAGCAUGAACAUUACCACAUCAAAAGCAGGUUUACAAGUUCAAAAACAGCGUAGGGUAAUGUUCCUAGUCCAAUCCAGCCAAAAACCUCGAAAAUAUGUUGUCUGGGGGUCCAACUCGUCGAGUACAUGAACCAAAUCGACAAGUUGGAUGAUUUUAUGCAUGGCCUCGACGAGUCCACUGUCCAGAACAGCAGAAAAUCGAAUUUUUUUUAGCAUUUUUCAGCAAUUUUCAUCAAGUAUAAUUGAAAACAAGCCUAGUCUUUGAUACCACUGAAGGCUUUUGAGUAUUCUAACAUUCAUAUGGUGUACAUGCAACCCUAAAUACCUUGAAUCUAUGUUUUCUCUAUUAUACAUGCAAACUUGAACUUUCCAAGGUAUUACCCUAACUAGCAUACAAUCAUUGAUACUUGGGUAAUAUAGACAAGUUAGAAGACAUACCUUUUCAUGUAGCUUGAUUCCAUGGAGCUUAAGAUCCUAGUGCCUCUAGUGUGACACCUCAAAUGGUUCACACAACAUCACCAACAUCUUGGAAUAACUUGAGAGAAAAGGUUCCUAUGCUCAAAUCGGCUAGCC
This 7437-nucleotide long non-coding RNA is filed under the name Lactuca sativa (garden lettuce). Its description in RNAcentral is "long non-coding RNA (LSAT_LNC008896)". The record is from RNAcentral. Lineage: Eukaryota; Viridiplantae; Streptophyta; Magnoliopsida; Asterales; Asteraceae.